GGAGACGUAUCGAAGUGGUCAUAACGGGCCUGACUCGAAAUCAGGUAGUCUGAAAGGGCUCGUGGGUUCGAAUCCCACCGUCUCCGCCA
RNAcentral lists this transfer RNA (89 nucleotides) under Allobaculum sp. Its description in RNAcentral is "tRNA-Ser". It matches the Rfam family "tRNA". From Rfam's summary of the family: Transfer RNA (tRNA) molecules are approximately 80 nucleotides in length. Their secondary structure includes four short double-helical elements and three loops (D, anti-codon, and T loops). Further hydrogen bonds mediate the characteristic L-shaped molecular structure. tRNAs have two regions of fundamental functional importance: the anti-codon, which is responsible for specific mRNA codon recognition, and the 3' end, to which the tRNAs corresponding amino acid is attached (by aminoacyl-tRNA synthetases). tRNAs cope with the degeneracy of the genetic code in two manners: having more than one tRNA (with a specific anti-codon) for a particular amino acid; and 'wobble' base-pairing, i.e. permitting non-standard base-pairing at the 3rd anti-codon position. The record is from RNAcentral. Lineage: Bacteria; Bacillati; Bacillota; Erysipelotrichia; Erysipelotrichales; Erysipelotrichaceae. RNAcentral also lists the same sequence under 3 other names.